CGGGGGCGGCGGCGUGGCGUACCGCGUGCGCCCCGGUCCCACCUGUGUUGUUUUUCGGACUACCAAACAGCUGGAGAAUGAAAUGGAGCCUGAUGAUAUGAAUGAGUAUUACCAGGAUAUACAGGACAUUCUCGGCCAAUAUAACUGGCUCUAUGAUUUUCAAAUGACACACAUGUUCACAGCUCAUGUGUUUGAGCACAUGCCAGAUGAGUGGCAGGAGUUUGGACAGAAUGUAUCUGUUGAAACAUUGCACAGUAUAGCUCAAGCUACUCCCAAGGACGGGUGGCCGACCGACCUGACCUCACUGGUGCGUCGCUGCGGCCGGCUGCG
Pollicipes pollicipes is the source of this 330-nucleotide long non-coding RNA. RefSeq lists it as uncharacterized. The transcript is spliced from 3 exons. NCBI's taxonomy places the organism in Eukaryota, Metazoa, Arthropoda, Thecostraca, Pollicipedomorpha, Pollicipedidae. The record is from RefSeq and is a predicted model, not a curated record.